Molecule: ribosomal RNA, 402 nt
Filed under: uncultured Coriobacteriaceae bacterium
Lineage: Bacteria; Bacillati; Actinomycetota; Coriobacteriia; Coriobacteriales; Coriobacteriaceae
Description: partial 16S ribosomal RNA
Rfam family: Bacterial small subunit ribosomal RNA
Source: RNAcentral
UGGGGAAUUUUGCGCAAUGGGCGAAAGCCUGACGCAGCAACGCCGCGUGCGGGAUGAAGGCCUUCGGGUUGUAAACCGCUUUCAGCAGGGAUGAAACUGACAGUACCUGCAGAAGAAGCCCCGGCUAACUACGUGCCAGCAGCCGCGGUAAUACGUAGGGGGCAAGCGUUAUCCGGAUUUAUUGGGCGUAAAGCGCGCGUAGGCGGCUUGUUAAGCGAGAUGUGAAAACCGGGGGCUUAACCCGCGGCCUGCAUCUCGAACUGGCAGGCUUGAGUCUGGUAGAGGAAAGUGGAAUUCCCAGUGUAGCGGUGAAAUGCGCAGAUAUUGGGAGGAACACCAGUGGCGAAGGCGGCUUUCUGGGCCACGACUGACGCUGAGGCGCGAAAGCUAGGGGAGCGAACA